RNAcentral lists this ribosomal RNA (548 nucleotides) under uncultured Glomus. RNAcentral's name for it is "SSU rRNA". It matches the Rfam family "Eukaryotic small subunit ribosomal RNA", at positions 548 to 1098 of the family's 1831-position model. The record is from RNAcentral. Lineage: Eukaryota; Fungi; Glomeromycota; Glomeromycetes; Glomerales; Glomeraceae.
UUGGAGGGCAAGUCUGGUGCCAGCAGCCGCGGUAAUUCCAGCUCCAAUAGCGUAUAUUAAAGUUGCUGCAGUUAAAAAGCUCGUAGUUGAAUUUCGGGACCAAUAUGUCGGUCGUGCCUCGGUACGUACUGGCAUCGUUGGUUUCUCCCUUCUGACGAACCAUGAUGUCAUUCAUUUGGUGUCGUGGGGAAUCAGGACUGUUACUUUGAAAAAAUUAGAGUGUUUAAAGCAGGCUCACGCUUGAAUACAUUAGCAUGGAAUAAUGAAAUAGGACGUUUGAUUCUAUUUUGUUGGUUUCUAGGAUCGACGUAAUGAUUAAUAGGGAUAGUUGGGGGCAUUAGUAUUCAAUUGUCAGAGGUGAAAUUCUUGGAUUUAUUGAAGACUAACUACUGCGAAAGCAUUUGCCAAGGAUGUUUUCAUUAAUCAAGAACGAAAGUUAGGGGAUCGAAGACGAUCAGAUACCGUCGUAGUCUUAACCAUAAACUAUGCCGACUAGGGAUCGGAUGAUGUUAAUUUUUUAAUGACUCAUUCGGCACCUUACGGGAAAC